AACGAACGCUGGCGGCAUGCCUAACACAUGCAGGUCGAACGAGACCUUCGGGUCUAGUGGCGCACGUGUGCGUAACGCGUGGGAACCUGCCCUUAGGUUCGGAAUAACUCCCCGAAAGGGGUGCUAAUACCGGAUAAUGUCUUCGGACCAAAGAGUUAUCGCCUUUGGAUGGGCCCGCGUUGGAUUAGCUAGUUGGUAGGGUAAAAGCCUACCAAGGCGACGAUCCAUAGCUGGUGUGAGAGGAUGAUCAGCCAGACUGGGACUGCGACACGGCCCAGACUCCUACGGGAGGCAGCAGUGGGGAAUAUUGGACAAUGGGCGAAAGCCUGAUCCAGCCAUGCCGCGUGAGUGAUGAAGGCCUUAGGGUUGUAAAGCUCUUUUACACGGGAUGAUAAUGACAGUACCGGGAGAAUAAGCUCCGGCUAACUCCGUG
This 433-nucleotide ribosomal RNA is filed under the name uncultured bacterium. RNAcentral's name for it is "partial 16S ribosomal RNA". It matches the Rfam family "Bacterial small subunit ribosomal RNA", at positions 29 to 507 of the family's 1533-position model. The record is from RNAcentral.